RNAcentral lists this ribosomal RNA (253 nucleotides) under uncultured bacterium. Its description in RNAcentral is "partial 16S ribosomal RNA". It matches the Rfam family "Bacterial small subunit ribosomal RNA", at positions 524 to 776 of the family's 1533-position model. The record is from RNAcentral.
UACGUAGGUGGCAAGCGUUAUCCGGAUUUAUUGGGUGUAAAGGGCGUGUAGGCGGGAGCGCAAGUCAGAUGUGAAAACUCAGGGCUCAACCCUGAGCCUGCAUUUGAAACUGUGUUUCUUGAGUGCUGGAGAGGCAAUCGGAAUUCCGUGUGUAGCGGUGAAAUGCGUAGAUAUACGGAGGAACACCAGUGGCGAAGGCGGUCUGCUGGACAGCAACUGACGGUGAGGCGCGAAAGCGUGGGGAGCAAACAGG